CCUACGGGUGGCAGCAGUGAGGAAUAUUGGUCAAUGGGCGAGAGCCUGAACCAGCCAAGUCGCGUGAAGGAUGAAGGAUCUAUGGUUUGUAAACUUCUUUUAUAUGGGAAUAAAGUGAGGAACGUGUGCCUUUUUGUAUGUACAAUAUGAAUAAGCAGCGGCUAACUCCGUGCCAGAAGCCGCGGUAAUACGUAGCAUGCGAGCGUUAUCCGGAUUUAUUGGGGUUAAAGGGUGCGUCGGUGGUUAAGUCAGUACGCGGUGAAAGUUUGUGGCUCAACCAUAAAAUUGCCGUUGAAACUGGUUGACUGGUGUAUAUUUGAUGUAGGCGGAAUGCGUGGUGUAGCGGUGAAAUGCAUCGAUAUCACGCAGAACUCCGAUUGCGAGGGCAGCUUACUAAACUAUAACUGACACUGACGCACGAAAGCGUGGGGAUCAAACAGGAUUAGAUACCCUUGUAGUC
This 460-nucleotide ribosomal RNA is filed under the name uncultured bacterium. RNAcentral describes it as "partial 16S ribosomal RNA". It matches the Rfam family "Bacterial small subunit ribosomal RNA", at positions 338 to 795 of the family's 1533-position model. The record is from RNAcentral.